AGGCCAGUCUAGGAUCAAACUAGAUAGGCACGAUGAAACAAAGCUUGUCCCUAUGAGGAUAUAAUUCAAUGGGGAAUUCCAUCCCAAUAUAUGUGUUGGGAGGAGACAGAAACAACCAUCAUUCACGAGGAUAUAACUCGGUGGGGAAUAUGGAAGGAAGGAUAAACACUUUUCUGCUUAAGGGCUGACUCUAUAUGGAGGGAUCAGACACAGUCAUCUGCUUGGGGAAAUGUA
This 234-nucleotide long non-coding RNA is filed under the name Lathyrus oleraceus (garden pea). RNAcentral's name for it is "Pisum sativum (pea) long non-coding RNA (PSAT_LNC006826)". The record is from RNAcentral. Lineage: Eukaryota; Viridiplantae; Streptophyta; Magnoliopsida; Fabales; Fabaceae.